AACGAACGCUGGCGGCAUGCUUAACACAUGCAAGUCGAACGAGACCUCCGGGCCUAGUGGCGCACGGGUGCGUAACGCGGGGUAACCUGCCCUUAGGUUCGCAAUCACUCCCCGUAAGGGGUGCUAAUACCGCUGAAUGUCAUCCGACCAAAGAUUUAUCGCCUUUGGAUGGGCCCGGGUUGGAUUAGCUAGUUGGUAGGGUAAUAGCAUACCAAGGCGACGAUCCAUGGCUGGUCUGUGAGGAUGAUUAGCCACACUGGGACUGAGACACGGCCCAGACUGCUACGGAAGGCAGCAGUGGGGAAUAUUGGACGCUGGGCGAAAGCCUGAUCCAGCAACGCCGCGUGUGUGAUGAAGGCCUUAGGGUUGUAAAGCUCUUUUACCCGGGAUGAUAAUGACAGUACCGGGAGAAUAAGCUCCGGCUAACUCCGUG
RNAcentral lists this ribosomal RNA (433 nucleotides) under uncultured bacterium. RNAcentral's name for it is "partial 16S ribosomal RNA". It matches the Rfam family "Bacterial small subunit ribosomal RNA", at positions 29 to 507 of the family's 1533-position model. The record is from RNAcentral.